CCAUGGAUGUGAACGCGAUAACACCACUCUGAUUGAAAUCCAAUUCAAAUGGAAAAAUCGAACCAUAAAACUAAGUGGAACCGAGUCCAAAAAUGUUCCCUGAAUACGAAUUCAACAAUCACUUCUGCAAACGUGAUUUCACGCCUUCAAACGAACUUCGUAAUUGCUCUCCGUGAACAUGAUUCUCCUCUGCAAUCAUCUCCACACUUGCAUUGUGUUUUGAUUUACCGUGACUUAGGUUUGAUGCGUUCGGUUCGAUUCGAGAUUGAAAUGUGAAAUCAAUGGAAAACAGUGGAUGCUUUGCAGAUAAAUUAAGCUCGAAUCACUUACCGAAUCGACUUGACAGAAAUCAUGGUGAAAUCAAGCUAAGAAAUAGCUUCAAAUUGUAUAGUUGAUUCGGUUGCGGAGUGAAGCUCUUGCAGAGUUGCAGAAUCGAUCUCAUGUUGCAGAAGUUGCAGAAUCGAUUUUCUGUUGCAGAAGUUACAGAAUCGAUUCUUGUUGCCGAAUGAGGAUUGGAAGAUCGAAUUUGAAGAGUGAAGAGGGUUGAAGAAUUAACUUGGAGAGUGAAGAGGACGUGAAAACUGCCAAAAAAAGUUUUUUUUUUUUUCUGUUUGUAGUGAUAUUUGCUAUUUAGGAUUCAACUCUUUUCGCUCUUUCUGUUAGCUUCUCCUCUCCAUUAUGUUAGAGCUUUUUUGAUGUUGUUGGAGGUGGUUACAAGUUGUUGAAAAACGGUUAGAGGUUUUGAAGGUUAGUUAGAGUUGGUUGGUGAGGUUUGUGGAGAGGGUGUUUUAUUCUAUUAGUGAAGUUGAGUUAGUUAGCCUGAUUAUCAGCAUGAGAAGAGUUUGUUAAAUUGAUUUGUGUGUUUGUUAGUAAUGUGGUUUAAACUUCCAUUCACUUUUGUUAUCAGUUAGUUACUUUCUUACAUCAUGACUUAUUGGUGGUGUGCAGGGAUUGGUUCUUAUUCCGGUUCUGUUAGCGGUAGCCGUCAUCCAAUGGUUGCAGAAUUGGAGAGGUUCCAAUUCUGGAAGAUUGGUUCAAUUCCGAUGUUCUCCCGAGUCAUGUCCGAAAGAGCUUUUUUUCUUAUCUUCUUUUCUGGCCGUUCUUUUUGCUCAGUUGUAAAUUCGCUAUGGACUUUAGCAUUCAAUUCUGUUGUGGAUUUCUCGUUUUGAGGCUGGGAGUUGGGUUCAAAGUUGUUGUGGAAGAAUCCCCAAAUAAUUAUGCUAUCGGUUGGCCAUAUUGUUGCAGUUCCAGGUUCUUGACUUAGGACUGCGUCCUGAUUUUGUCUGUUCAACACUUGAGGAUGUUGUCCAUAGUUUGGCAUUUGCCAAAGUGAAGUUAGCAUCUGGCUAUUUAAUUGCAAUCCAUUUGUCGACACAAAACUAGGAGCUUCAUAGUUGUUUGUUACUUGAGCUCCAUCUAAAGGGCAACAUUUCUUUUUGUCUUGCAUCCAGAGGGUUUCUAGGUAUGGGAUUCCCCACACGUAUAACAAUACCACUAUCCCUAUAGACUUGCUUCUAGAGUUGGUUGCCUACAUCUUGCGAUGGGUGAUUUUAACUAAUCCCUUAGAAGAAGUCUGGGUUAUUUUCACCAAAAAGAGCAAGCACACUUGGAUCAAUAUUUUCAGCAAAAUUGCCAAGGUGCUCAUUAUUUUUGCAGUCUUGAAGGUAUCAUCAAGUGAGAAGCCUGUUGUGCCAUAACGCUGUUAAAGCUAGAGCUGGCUUGAAACUGUUGAGAUCUCUGCUCAAUCAUUGGAAAAUAUGUCUCAUAGAAGAUAUACCACCAUUCAUGCAGAAAUCCAUAUGGAGAAUCAAGCUCUAAAUCCAAACACUCAGGGUAAGUAGGAGUUUGCGGAACGGUGGUUUUGUUCAUGAAAAUUGAAGCAGUUCUAUACAUUCCCUUUUCGAUAAGAUAGUCAUGCAAAAAGUACCUAAACAUUGGAUGAACAUCUAAAGAAUCGUUAUUAUUUGAGUCCAUGAAGAGAACGGUAUCGAUGAAUGCACAUAAUGUCAGCUAAUUUUCGCUACUGAGUGAGAAAAAGAUUGAGAUGAAAAGGGAUUGAAAUUGAUUUGAAAAAAGAAGAAGAAAUUAAGAGUGAUAGUGCCAUGCAAAUAGGAACAAAAAUUGGGUUUAGGGGUUAUGGAAAAAAGUUGACCAAAUGUCAACCUUUGUAAAAAAUUGCAUUUUUUUCUUUUUCUUUUAUAAUGGACAAUGUAAGUGUUGUAUGAAUGAAUGAACGAUACUUUAUUUGAAUAUAAUGAUCUUUAAAUCAACGCAAAAAUA
Molecule: long non-coding RNA, 2280 nt
Organism: Lathyrus oleraceus (garden pea)
Lineage: Eukaryota; Viridiplantae; Streptophyta; Magnoliopsida; Fabales; Fabaceae
Exons: 3
Source: RefSeq, a predicted model, not a curated record